ACACCGCCCGUCGCUACUACCGAUUGAAUGAUUUAGUGAGGUCUUCGGACCGACACGCGGUGGCUUCACGGCCGUCGGCGUUGUUGGGAAGUUGACCAAACUUGAUCAUUUAGAGGAAGUAAAAGUCGUAACAAGGUUUCCGUAGGGGAACCUGCGGAAGGAUCAUUAACGU
RNAcentral lists this ribosomal RNA (172 nucleotides) under Bombyx mori (domestic silkworm). Its description in RNAcentral is "partial 18S ribosomal RNA". It matches the Rfam family "Eukaryotic small subunit ribosomal RNA", at positions 1666 to 1831 of the family's 1831-position model. The record is from RNAcentral. Lineage: Eukaryota; Metazoa; Arthropoda; Insecta; Lepidoptera; Bombycidae.